This 532-nucleotide ribosomal RNA is filed under the name uncultured delta proteobacterium. RNAcentral describes it as "bacterial SSU rRNA". It matches the Rfam family "Bacterial small subunit ribosomal RNA", at positions 17 to 523 of the family's 1533-position model. Lineage: Bacteria; Deltaproteobacteria. The record is from RNAcentral.
UCCUGGCUCAGAUAAACGCUGGCGGCGUGCCUAACACAUGCAAGUCGCACGAGAAAGCCUAAACUUCGGUUGGGCGAGUAAAGUGGCGCACGGGUGAGUAACGCGUAGGCAACCUACCCUUGUGUUCGGGAUAACAGGGCGAAAGCCUUGCUAAUACCGGAUCCGACCCCGGAGCGGGAGCUUCGGGGUGAAAGCCGGCCUCUCUAUAGAAGCUGGUGCACGAGGAUGGGCCUGCGUCCUAUCAGCUAGUUGGUAAGGUAACGGCUUACCAAGGCGACGACGGGUAGCUGGUCUGAGAGGAUGAUCAGCCACACUGGCACUGGAACACGGGCCAGACUCCUACGGGAGGCAGCAGUGAGGAAUUUUGCGCAAUGGCCGCAAGGCUGACGCAGCAACGCCGCGUGGGUGAAGAAGGCCUUCGGGUCGUAAAGCCCUGUCGGGUGGGAAGAACCGCACGGAGGCGAAUAGUCUUCGUGCCUGACGGUACCACCAAAGGAAGCACCGGCUAACUCCGUGCCAGCAGCCGCGGUAA